GAUGAACGCUGGCGGCGUGCUUAACACAUGCAAGUCGAACGAUGAAGGAGGAGCUUGCUCCUCUGGAUUAGUGGCGAACGGGUGAGUAACACGUGAGCAAUCUGCCCCUGACUCUGGGAUAAGCGUUGGAAACGACGUCUAAUACCGGAUACGAGCCGAGCAGGCAUCUGCAUCGGUUGGAAAGAACUUCGGUCAGGGAUGAGCUCGCGGCCUAUCAGCUAGUUGGUGAGGUAAUGGCUCACCAAGGCGACGACGGGUAGCCGGCCUGAGAGGGUGGCCGGCCACACGGGGACUGAGACACGGCCCAGACUCCUACGGGAGGCAGCAGUGGGGAAUAUUGCACAAUGGGCGCAAGCCUGAUGCAGCAACGCCGCGUGAGGGACGACGGCCUUCGGGUUGUAAACCUCUUUUAGCAGGGAAGAAGCGAGAGUGACGGUACCUGCAGAAAAAGCACCGGCUAACUACGUGCCAGCAGCCGCCGUAA
RNAcentral lists this ribosomal RNA (484 nucleotides) under uncultured bacterium. Its description in RNAcentral is "partial 16S ribosomal RNA". It matches the Rfam family "Bacterial small subunit ribosomal RNA", at positions 28 to 523 of the family's 1533-position model. The record is from RNAcentral.